AUUGAACGCUGGCGGCAUGCCUUACACAUGCAAGUCGAACGGCAGCACGGGUGCUUGCACCUGGUGGCGAGUGGCGAACGGGUGAGUAAUACAUCGGAACGUACCUUAUCGUGGGGGAUAACGCAGCGAAAGCUGUGCUAAUACCGCAUACGCCCUGAGGGGGAAAGCGGGGGAUCGAAAGACCUCGCGCGAUUAGAGCGGCCGAUGCCUGAUUAGCUUGUUGGUGGGGUAAAAGCCCACCAAGGCGACGAUCAGUAGCUGGUCUGAGAGGACGAUCAGCCACACUGGGACUGAGACACGGCCCCGACUCCUACGGGAGGCAGCAGUGGGGAAUUUUGGACAAUGGGGGCAACCCUUAUCCAGCAAUGCCGCGUGAGUGAAGAAGGCCUUCGGGUUGUAAAGCUCUUUUGUCAGGGAAGAAACACCGGCUCUAACACAGUCCGGGAAUGACGGUACCUGAAGAAUAAGCACCGGCUAACUGCGUGCCAGCCGCCGCCGUAA
RNAcentral lists this ribosomal RNA (501 nucleotides) under uncultured bacterium. RNAcentral describes it as "partial 16S ribosomal RNA". It matches the Rfam family "Bacterial small subunit ribosomal RNA", at positions 30 to 523 of the family's 1533-position model. The record is from RNAcentral.